AAAUAUGAUCACAGCGCAACGUGAGCUGGCAAAGGCGAUCAGACGCUGCAUCCGCCUCUACAGUCUGCACAGUGCAACAUGGGAGCACGUCACUGGUCCACAACAAAGAAUAUGCUUUGGACUUGAUUGUAAAUGAUGAGCUGGACAAUGUAGACCAUACAGGUCUCCAUAUACUGGCAGAGGUGGCUGCAGAGGCAGGGAUAGUUACGCCACAGCCUGUUGACCAGGGCACACAAACAGAAGACAUUAGCUUUGAAGGAAAGCUGCUGCUCUUUCUUUCUGCAACUGAUGGUCAUUGUGCGUCCACACAGGUCACGCAUCCCAUGCAGUCCAACAAGGUGACAACCACGGAUGGACAAUGGCAGCGACAGUGUGGGUUCAUGGGGUUGCAACCCUGAAAAGCUCGGAGAAUGUGCUGCAGAACCUGUGCUGUGUCACAAUGACGGUAUUCAGCAUUCUUCUGAACAUGCUGCCAGAACAACGGUGCAGAUCGAGCAGCAUGACAAGAGAGGACCGACUGACACUCUUCCUCAUGAAGCUCAAACUAUGCAUAAGCUUUACAGCACUUGCUGCAAUAUUUAGGGUGUGCGAGACCACUGCUGCAAGAGUGUUCAGAAGCACGUUGGAGAUCCUGUCCAGUGAACUGAGUGAAUGGGUCUUUGUACCAUCACGGGGAGCAAUCAAAGACACAAUGCCAGAAUGCUUCAAAUUACACCACCCAAACUGCGCGUUUAUUAUAGACUGCGCAUAAAUUACAACAGAAGCUCCGACAGACCCUGAACAACAGCUCUAUCUCUAUUCCCACUACAAAGGCUGCUGCACAUUGAAAUUCUUGAUUGGCCCCAUUCCAAAUGGCAUGGUUGCUUUCCUUUCGAAUGCCUAUGGUGGUCGCCACAGCGACACUUUCAUAACGAGAGAUUCUGGCUUUCUGGCUUUGAUCGAGCCUGGUGAUGUGAUCCUUAGUGACAAAGGGUUCCCAAACAUCAGAACCAAUGUCGAAGGCUGUGGUGCCGUCAUCGUAAUGCCAUCUCUGUCAUGUGGAAAGGCCCAAAUGGAAGACACUUACAAGGUAGCCCAAGUUCGGGUUCAUGUUGAACGGGCGAUACAGAUACUCAAGCUGUUCAACAUUCUAAACAACACGGUACCACUCACAUUGGUACCAUAUAUGGCACAGAUUAUACGUGUGGAGUGCUUGUGAAUUUGCAACCCCCAAUCAUCAGUAAGAAGUGAGCAGAAAAAUUGUUAUUAAACAUUGAUGGGUUAAACUUGCAGCCACAAUCUCACAUUUUCCUUCUCAUAAAGCUUGCGAUAGAAGCAGUUAGUUACAGACCUGAACCGAAGGGAGGCAAUAAU
This is a long non-coding RNA of Ornithodoros turicata, 1353 nucleotides long. RefSeq lists it as uncharacterized. The transcript has 4 exons. The record is from RefSeq and is a predicted model, not a curated record. Lineage: Eukaryota; Metazoa; Arthropoda; Arachnida; Ixodida; Argasidae.